This 468-nucleotide ribosomal RNA is filed under the name uncultured bacterium. RNAcentral describes it as "partial 16S ribosomal RNA". It matches the Rfam family "Bacterial small subunit ribosomal RNA", at positions 28 to 507 of the family's 1533-position model. The record is from RNAcentral.
GACGAACGCUGGCGGCGUGCUUAACACAUGCAAGUCGAACGGAAAGGCCCUGCUUUUGUGGGGUGCUCGAGUGGCGAACGGGUGAGUAACACGUGAGUAACCUGCACUUGACUUUGGGAUAACUUCAGGAAACAGGGGCUAAUACCGGAUAGGAGCUCCUGCUGCAUGGUGGGGGUUGGAAAGAUUCGGCGGUUGGGGAUGGACUCGCGGCUUAUCAGCUUGUUGGUGGGGUAGUGGCUUACCAAGGCUUUGACGGAUAGCCGGCCUGAGAGGGCGACCGGCGACAUUGGGACUAAGAUACGGCCCAGACUCCUACGGGCGGCAACAGUGGGGAAUAUUGCACAAUGGGCGGAAGCGUGAUGCAACAACGCCGCGUGCGGGAUAACGGCCUUCGGGUUGUGAACCGCUUUCGCCUGUAACGAAGCGUGAGUGACGGUAAUGGGUAAAGAAGCACCGGCUAACUACGUG